GGAAGUGUGUCCGAGUGGUCGAAGGAGGCAGUUUUGAAAACUGUUGAGGGUUUGCGCCCUCCGGGGGUUCGAAUCCCUCCACUUCCGCCA
Molecule: transfer RNA, 90 nt
Filed under: Halobacteriovoraceae bacterium
Lineage: Bacteria; Pseudomonadati; Bdellovibrionota; Bacteriovoracia; Bacteriovoracales; Halobacteriovoraceae
Also listed under: 1 other name
Description: tRNA-Ser
Rfam family: tRNA
About the family: Transfer RNA (tRNA) molecules are approximately 80 nucleotides in length. Their secondary structure includes four short double-helical elements and three loops (D, anti-codon, and T loops).
Source: RNAcentral